This 125-nucleotide small RNA is filed under the name Marmota monax (woodchuck). The record is from RNAcentral. Lineage: Eukaryota; Metazoa; Chordata; Mammalia; Rodentia; Sciuridae.
GCUGGGCAUGGUGGCACAUGCCUGUAAUCCCAGCAGCUAGGGAGGCUGAGACAGGAGGAUAGUGAGUUCAAAGCCAGCCUCAGCAAAAGCAAGGUGCUAAGCAACUCAGUGAGACCCUGUCUCUA